AGAGUUGAUCAUGGCUCAGGAUGAACGCUAGCGGGAGGCCUAACACAUGCAAGCCGAGCGGUAGAAUUUCUUCGGAGAUUUGAGAGCGGCGUACGGGUGCGUAACACGUGUGCAACCUACCUUUAUCUGGGGGAUAGCCUUUCGAAAGGAAGAUUAAUACCCCAUAAUAUAAUGAAUGGCAUCAUUUAUUAUUGAAAACUCCGGUGGAUAGAGAUGGGCACGCGCAAGAUUAGAUAGUUGGUGAGGUAACGGCUCACCAAGUCAAUGAUCUUUAGGGGGCCUGAGAGGGUGAUCCCCCACACUGGUACUGAGACACGGACCAGACUCCUACGGGAGGCAGCAGUGAGGAAUAUUGGACAAUGGGUGAGAGCCUGAUCCAGCCAUCCCGCGUGAAGGACGACUGCCCUAUGGGUUGUAAACUUCUUUUGUACAGGGAUAAACCAUUCUACAUGUAGAAUGCUGAAGGUACUGUACGAAUAAGCACCGGCUAACUCCGUG
This 498-nucleotide ribosomal RNA is filed under the name uncultured bacterium. RNAcentral's name for it is "bacterial SSU rRNA". It matches the Rfam family "Bacterial small subunit ribosomal RNA", at positions 8 to 507 of the family's 1533-position model. The record is from RNAcentral.